AUAUGUGCAACACAGCCUUUCUGG
RNAcentral lists this non-coding RNA (24 nucleotides) under Rattus norvegicus (Norway rat). The record is from RNAcentral. Lineage: Eukaryota; Metazoa; Chordata; Mammalia; Rodentia; Muridae.